RNAcentral lists this ribosomal RNA (936 nucleotides) under Triticum aestivum (bread wheat). RNAcentral's name for it is "partial small subunit ribosomal RNA". Lineage: Eukaryota; Viridiplantae; Streptophyta; Magnoliopsida; Poales; Poaceae. The record is from RNAcentral.
AUGCUCGGGGCGGAGGACCCAGAAUCCUUCUUCGCGACCGCGCCGCCGCUGCGCGACGCCGACGCCGACGCCGUCCGCACAAAGCUGCAAGAGUUCAUCGCCCGCAACUCCAUCAUCUCAGCGGGCGGGGUCGACAGGCGGCCUAUCGUGUGCGUCACGUCGGGCGGGACGACGGUGCCGCUGGAGCAGCGGUGCAUCCGGUACAUCGACAACUUCAGCUCCGGCCACCGCGGCGCUGCCUCCACCGAGUAUAUCUUGAAGGCUGGUUAUGCUGUUAUCUUUCUCCACCGACGAGGGAGUUGUCAGCCUUACUGUAGGUUCCUGCCUGAUGAUUCAUUCCUCAAAUUCUUAGACGUCAAUGAAGAAUCAAAAGUUCAAGUGGCCGAGUCCCAUCAGACAACCGUAAAGGAAUCAAUUUGGCACUAUUGCAAGGCUAUGGAAGGUGGCUCUCUGCUGAAACUCCAAUUCACCACAAUAUUUGAAUACCUUCAGUUACUGAGGAUGGUGGCUACAUCGGUGAGCACAGUCGGGCAACGCGGGAUGUUCUAUCUUGCUGCAGCCGUAUCAGACUUUUAUGUUCCUUGGGAUAGCAUGGCAAAACAUAAGAUUCAGUCAGCUGGAGGCCCUCUAGAGAUGAGGCUCAGUCAGGUUCCAAAAAUGCUUUCUGUAUUGCGGGACCAAUGGGCUCCCUUGGCAUUUUGUGUAUCUUUCAAGCUGGAGACAAAUUCAGACAUUCUUGUCCAGAAAGCAAAUAUGGCUCUGAACAAGUACAAGAUGAACAUUGUCGUGGCUAAUUUGCUUGCAACAUACAAAGAUCAAGUCAUUAUUGUCACAAACGGAGCAAGGAAUACUGUCCGGACGCGCAACAGUGAUGACGAUUUGGAAGAGCAGAUAAUCAAACUCCUAGCACAGAAGCACUCAAAGUAUAUUUGUUGA